ACGUCUCAUGAACCUGGGUUGUGCCACUGGUCACCCCAGUUUUGUGAUGUCCUGCUCAUUCACCAACCAGGUGAUUGCUCAGCUUGAGCUGUGGAACGAGAAGACAUCCGGCAAGUAUGAGAAGAAGGUCUAUGUUUUGCCCAAGCACCUUGAUGAGAAGGUUGCUUCCCUUCACCUUGGCAAGCUUGGAGCCAGGCUCACCAAGCUCUCCAAGGACCAGGCAGACUACAUCAACGUUCCAGUUGAGGGUCCCUACAAGCCUGCUCAGUACAGGUACUGAGAGAUGGAAUUUGAGGAAAGACCAUCUGUUUGGACGGCGCUAUUGUUUCUUUUGUAUCUUGCUGAUGAUUUGUCUUAGAAUAUCAG
Molecule: long non-coding RNA, 366 nt
Filed under: Populus trichocarpa (black cottonwood)
Lineage: Eukaryota; Viridiplantae; Streptophyta; Magnoliopsida; Malpighiales; Salicaceae
Description: long non-coding RNA (PTRI_LNC003797)
Source: RNAcentral